UGGGGAAUAUUGGACAAUGGGCGAAAGCCUGAUCCAGCAAUGCCGCGUGUGUGAAGAAGGUCUUCGGAUUGUAAAGCACUUUCGACGGGGACGAUGAUGACGGUACCCGUAGAAGAAGCCCCGGCUAACUUCGUGCCCG
Molecule: ribosomal RNA, 139 nt
Filed under: uncultured bacterium
Lineage: Bacteria
Description: partial 16S ribosomal RNA
Rfam family: Bacterial small subunit ribosomal RNA
Source: RNAcentral